RNAcentral lists this ribosomal RNA (362 nucleotides) under Escherichia coli. RNAcentral's name for it is "partial 23S ribosomal RNA". It matches the Rfam family "Bacterial large subunit ribosomal RNA", at positions 1 to 399 of the family's 2925-position model. Lineage: Bacteria; Pseudomonadati; Pseudomonadota; Gammaproteobacteria; Enterobacterales; Enterobacteriaceae. The record is from RNAcentral.
GGUUAAGCGACUAAGCGUACACGGUGGAUGCCCUGGCAGUCAGAGGCGAUGAAGGACGUGCUAAUCUGCGAUAAGCGUCGGUAAGGUGAUAUGAACCGUUAUAACCGGCGAUUUCCGAAUGGGGAAACCCAGUGUGUUUCGACACACUAUCAUUAACUGAAUCCAUAGGUUAAUGAGGCGAACCGGGGGAACUGAAACAUCUAAGUACCCCGAGGAAAAGAAAUCAACCGAGAUUCCCCCAGUAGCGGCGAGCGAACGGGGAGCAGCCCAGAGCCUGAAUCAGUGUGUGUGUUAGUGGAAGCGUCUGGAAAGGCGCGCGAUACAGGGUGACAGCCCCGUACACAAAAAUGCACAUGCUGUGA